AUGUCAAGUAUUGAUGUUCAGCAAAGCAUCCAGUUAAGAGGAUUGAUCAAUGACAAAGAGAACCAUGAUCAACCUGACAUUUGGAAUUUUUAUUGGGGUGGCACAAAAUACUCCAACCAAAGAAUAUAUCUAGAAUACAUUGGCAAUCCUAUAGAUGCUCCUAAACCAUUCCAAUUGAUAUGGAAAUCAUAUUCUCUACCCAAGCAAAAGUUCUUUUUCUGGCUUCUCCUGCAGGAUAGGCUUAACACAAGAGAUCUCCUCACCAGGAAAAGUUUCCAUGUCCAAUCUACCUCAUGUGUUUUAUGUGAAGAUGAACCAAAUGAACACUUGAUGCACCUCUUUUUCAGCUGUGCUUUCAGUCAGAAUUUCUGGAUGAACAUUGGUAUCCAAUGGAACACAGACUAUGAUCUUCUUGAAAUGUUGUUGGAUGGCAGGAGACACAACAAUAUUAUAUGCUAUAAAGAAUGGUUGAUUGCAGGUUGUUGGAGCUUAUGGAAGCACAUGAAUGGUAUCAUAUUUGACCACAAGGAAAAGAAUAUGGCAUACUGUAUUAGUACUUUCAAAGAACACUUUGGUAUGAUUAUCAAGAAAGCAAAGCCUAGUUUGAAGGAAGGAAUGCAGAGCUCGCUAGAUUACUUGUAG
This 642-nucleotide ribosomal RNA is filed under the name Triticum aestivum (bread wheat). RNAcentral describes it as "partial small subunit ribosomal RNA". Lineage: Eukaryota; Viridiplantae; Streptophyta; Magnoliopsida; Poales; Poaceae. The record is from RNAcentral.